AUUGGGKGUAAARGGUGKGCARRCGGCUUAYUAARUCACUUGUUAAAUUCUUCGGCCUAAMUGAAGGUMUGCGASUGAWACUGGAAAGCUAGAGGGUGGAAGAGAGAAGUGGAAUUCUCGGAGUAGCGGUAAAAUGCGUAGAUCUCGAGAGGAACACCMAUGGCGAAGGCAGCUUCUUGGUCCAUUCCUGACGUUCAURCMCGAAAGCGUGGGGAGCAAACAGGAUUAGAUACCCUGGUAGUCCACGCUGUAAACGAUGAUCACUAGACGUKAGUUCUGUUUGACAGAAUUAGUGUCGUAGCUAACGCGUUAAGUGAUCCACCUGGGGAUUACGGUCGCARGACUA
This 346-nucleotide ribosomal RNA is filed under the name uncultured bacterium. Its description in RNAcentral is "partial 16S ribosomal RNA". It matches the Rfam family "Bacterial small subunit ribosomal RNA", at positions 553 to 896 of the family's 1533-position model. The record is from RNAcentral.